Neoarius graeffei (lesser salmon catfish) is the source of this 437-nucleotide long non-coding RNA. RefSeq lists it as uncharacterized. The transcript has 4 exons. The record is from RefSeq and is a predicted model, not a curated record. NCBI's taxonomy places the organism in Eukaryota, Metazoa, Chordata, Actinopteri, Siluriformes, Ariidae.
AGAAUCGACACUGAUGAAGAAGCUCCUGCAUGUAGUCCAGCAGCCCGCAAGAAGUCCUACACACAGCUUGUGAAUGCUCCACAGAUCACAGCCCCUGAAGCCAUAUUUGGAGAAAAUUUGGCAUCUUCCUCAGCAGUCACCACGCAUUGGUCCCCUGAAGCUCCUACAUGUUCUCCACCAGCCCGCAAGAAGCCCUGCACACAGCUUGUGAAUGCUCCCCACAUCAAAGCCCCUGAAGCCCUAUUAGGAGAAAAUUUGCCAUCUUCCUCUAUCACCACGCCUUGGUCCCCUGUGGUCCCCACACCACCUUGGAAUCCACCUCGGAGGCCCUCAGAUUCCACUGCAGACCUUAUCCCUCCACAAGAACAGCAUUUGGAUCACUCCUUGACACCAGAACAUGGCCGGGUUUCUGUAGAGGCUGUGCCUACGUGUAUGCA